RNAcentral lists this ribosomal RNA (289 nucleotides) under uncultured bacterium. Its description in RNAcentral is "partial 16S ribosomal RNA". It matches the Rfam family "Bacterial small subunit ribosomal RNA", at positions 775 to 1067 of the family's 1533-position model. The record is from RNAcentral.
GGAUUAGAUACCCUGGUAGUCCACGCUGUAAACGAUGCAUACUAGGUGUUGGCCUGUAUUGGGCCAGUGCUGCAGUUAACGCAUUAAGUAUGCCACCUGGGGAGUACGUCGGCAACGAUGAAACUCAAAGGAAUUGACGGGGGCCCGCACAAGCGGUGGAGCAUGUGGCUUAAUUCGAUGCAACGCGAGGAACCUUACCUGGGCUAAAUCCACAACGCUACCUCUGGAAACAGAGGGUCCCUUCGGGGCGUUAUGGAAGGUGCUGCAUGGCUGUCGUCAGCUCGUGCCG